RNAcentral lists this long non-coding RNA (1470 nucleotides) under Strigops habroptila (Kakapo). Its description in RNAcentral is "lncRNA (ENSSHBG00005002945.1)". Lineage: Eukaryota; Metazoa; Chordata; Aves; Psittaciformes; Psittacidae. The record is from RNAcentral.
GCUAUAGAUCCCUCAGUGUCGCUGGACCACUCAUGAGGAUUUCAUUGCUUCACUCAGUUACAUUAACUUCCAGUCAGGUUGCUCUAACAAGUGACUAAGUAAUUCCUGAGCUUUAAAGGAACCCACAAUGUUACCCCUUAAAUCUGGGCCAGGAGUACAAAUCUAAUUUUCUUUUUAAGCAUUGUCUUUUAUUUCGAUGAGGCUUGAAAAGGGAGCUCUGCUGUUAGCCAUGGGAGCCCUCUGUGCAGUCUCCUGAAGUUCACACCUCCAAAAACAGCUCACACGGUGCUGGUUACAAUGACAAGAAGAAAUGUGGUGGUAUAGCGAUGCUCUGCAGCUCUGGGCUCUGUAAGGCUGAUCUUGCUGGCCUGUAAAUCACUCUAGCUGCAGUUCAGAGUGCAGACAACUAAGGCUGUACUGAGGGAUAUAGACUUGUAAUUAACCCAGAAGGCUACAGGGUUAGUGGUUUCUAGUUGUGAGCCAAGCUCAGUCACAUAAAGCAUUCACCUAGUUCAGUUUAAUUUUUGGGAGAGUCUGGAAGGGCAUGUCCCACGGGGAGGCCAACGGAGGAGGGCAGAUACGAAAGGCACACUGGAAUAUUUUUCUGUGUGUCGCUAGUAAACAGCCUUGCUGCAGCAUGCAGGUUUGCAGAAGUCAUGGCAUCCCCCAGGCUUCCUUUCCUUGGUGUGUACGAAUGGGAACCCAUUCCUCACUCUGGUGUGCACUCGCCAUCAGGCUGGUCAUGGAAAGAUACAACUGCACCAUGUUGUGUGCUGUCUCAGGCUCUUGGGGGUACUAGGCAUAAUCAUAGAUCUGCUUUUCUCUUUCUGCUUUCACUUUAUAUGCACGUCUGACAAGCAAAGCUGGCUCAGAAAACACAGAUUAUUUGCAAAGCAUCUCAUCUUGCUGCCAUGUCCAACCCACGCUAGUCAGCCCCUAGAGGAACAUUCUUAUGGUGUUUUAAGUGAUUAUGUUGUUGGACUUCAUUGAUGUAAAUAUUUAAAAUACUGUUUGAGUUUUAAGUUAUCAGUUUUAAUUCCUUUUUUAGUGGCAGGAGAGGAAACAGAAAGAAUUUUUAUACCAUUUUUCUUUGUUCUCUCUGUCUUCACCCACAUUCAUGACAUUGUUAUUUUUGUAUCUGAAAUUCCAGGUGUAUAACUAAAAAGAAAAGGGCAGGGAUUUGGGCCAGAUUUUCCAGAGUACUUAGUAGUAAGACAGUAUUUGCUAUUCUCAGAAGCUUGUGAAAAGAAAUUAAAAAUUAAUAUAAAGGAGUAAAGAAUUAGGCUUUCAGUUUUUUGAGCAUGCUAGAUGCAGAGAUCAUCGCACUGGAAUACCACGAAGGUAUGCGAGGAGAAACAGAGUGGAAAUGUUUCCAUUCUGUGUUUAGAGUCCUUGAUCAUUAGGUUACACUAUGAUAGGCAAAUAGAGAAAAACAUGUACAGAUUAUAAGGAUUCACAACAAAAAAAAAA